Molecule: ribosomal RNA, 254 nt
Filed under: uncultured bacterium
Lineage: Bacteria
Description: partial 16S ribosomal RNA
Rfam family: Bacterial small subunit ribosomal RNA
Source: RNAcentral
UACGUAGGGUGCAAGCGUUAAUCGGAAUUACUGGGCGUAAAGCGUGCGCAGGCGGUUGUGCAAGACAGAUGUGAAAUCCCCGGGCUCAACCUGGGAACUGCAUUUGUGACUGCACGGCUGGAGUGCGGCAGAGGGGGGAUGGAAUUCCGCGUGUAGCAGUGAAAUGCGUAGAUAUGCGGAGGAACACCGAUGGCGAAGGCAAUCCCCUGGGCCUGCACUGACGCUCAUGCACGAAAGCGUGGGGAGCAAACAGG